UUAGGGAUAACAGCGUAAUUUUUUUUUAGAGUUCAUAUCGACAAAAAAGAUUGCGACCUCGAUGUUGGAUUAAGAAUUAUUUUAGGUGUAGAAGUUUAAAAUUUAAGUCUGUUCGACUUUUAAAUUCUUACAUGAUCUGAGUUCAAACCGGUGUAAGCCAGGUUGGUUUCUAUCUUUAAUUGUUAUAUUAUAUUAUAGUACGAAAGGACCUAAUAUAAAAAAUAUUAAUUUUAAUAAUUAUGAAUAAUAAUAAAAUAAUUU
Molecule: ribosomal RNA, 261 nt
Filed under: Toxorhynchites amboinensis
Lineage: Eukaryota; Metazoa; Arthropoda; Insecta; Diptera; Culicidae
Description: partial large subunit ribosomal RNA
Rfam family: Bacterial large subunit ribosomal RNA (bases 1-174)
Source: RNAcentral